AAAGAAAAUAUUUAAUAAUUUUAUAGGUUUUUUAAUUAUUUAAUAUAAAUAAAUUUAAAUUUAAUGGUUUUUGUAUAGUUUGUAGAUCAAAUAUUUUUUUUUAUAGAAUAGUAGUAUUGAGAAAGAAAAUUGAAAAAUUUUUUGUUUAUGAAAAAGUAAUAUUAGUUUUGUGUACCUUUUGUAUCAGGGUUUAUUAAAUAAUAAUAAAAGAUUUUAUAAUCUCGAAUUUAAAGGAGCUAAAUUAUUAUGAAAGUUUUUGUGUUAUAAAAAUUUUAUAUAAUAAUUUAGGAAUGAAAUGUUAUUCGUCUUUAAAUAUAUCUAGUUUUUUAAGAAAUAAAUUUAAUUUAUAUAUUAAUAAGUUAAUUUUUUUAUUUUUAAAAAAGUUAAUUAUUAAUAUAAAUAUGUUAGGGGAUAAGCUUUAAUUUAUUAAGAUUAUAAUUGAAUAAAAUAAUAAAAUUAUUUGUAGAUUUAGUAAUUGUUAUCAAUAAAAAAUUUGUAUUAAUUUAUAAAUUUAAUAAAAAUAUUUAAUAAAAUUUAAUUUUAGUAUUAAAAUGUAAAUUUUAAUUUACAAAAUUUAGUAAUAAUGAUAAAAUUAGUAUAUUUAGGUUGUUUAAAUAUAAUUUUUAUGAAGAUUAUAUUAAGGAAUUCGGCAAAAAUAAUGUUCACCUGUUUAACAAAAACAUGUCUUUUAGAGUAUAAUUUAAGGUCUAGCCUGCCCACUGAAUUUAAUUUGAAGGGCCGCGGUAUUUUGACUGUGCAAAGGUAGCAUAAUCAUUAGUCUCUUAAUUGGAGGCUUGUAUGAAUGGUUGGAUGAAACAUUAACUGUCUCAAUUUAAUAAUAAUAGAAUUUAAUUUUUAAGUGAAAAAGCUUAAAUAUAAUUAGAGGACGAGAAGACCCUAUAGAUCUUUAUAAUAAAUUAGUUAUUUUAUAUAUAGAAAAUUAAUUGAUAUUAAUUAAUUAAUUAUUUUAUUGGGGUGAUAAAUAAAUUUAAUAAACUUUAUUUUAUAUAAACAUUUAUUUAUGAAUAUUUGAUCCAUUAUUAAUGAUUAUAAGAUUAAGUUACCUUAGGGAUAACAGCGUAAUUUUUUUAGAGAGUUCUUAUCGAUAAAAAAGUUUGCGACCUCGAUGUUGAAUUAAAGGUUAAUUUUAGGUGUAGAAGUUUAAAGUUUUGGUCUGUUCGACCAUUAAAUCUUUACAUGAUUUGAGUUCAAACCGGCGUGAGCCAGGUUGGUUUCUAUCCUUAAUUAAAUAAAAUAUUUUAGUACGAAAGGACCAAAUAUUUAAAAAAUUUUUUAAAAUUAGAAUAAUAUUAAU
RNAcentral lists this ribosomal RNA (1315 nucleotides) under Protohermes cangyuanensis. RNAcentral describes it as "16S ribosomal RNA". The stretch from base 621 to 1315 matches the Rfam family "Archaeal large subunit ribosomal RNA", at positions 1423 to 2912 of the family's 2987-position model. The record is from RNAcentral. Lineage: Eukaryota; Metazoa; Arthropoda; Insecta; Megaloptera; Corydalidae.